This 1658-nucleotide long non-coding RNA is filed under the name Solanum tuberosum (potato). RNAcentral's name for it is "long non-coding RNA (STUB_LNC007639)". The record is from RNAcentral. Lineage: Eukaryota; Viridiplantae; Streptophyta; Magnoliopsida; Solanales; Solanaceae.
UAUUAUUUUAUUAGAUAUUUUAGUGUCAUUACUCAUAUCAUAUUUUGUGUUAUUUUCUUAAGAAACAUCUUAGAUAGUUCUAUUUUGGUAGGACUAAAUAAAUAUUUGAAGGACAAGUAAAUUAUAUGUUUGUAUGAAUACUUUACCGGAAAAACCCGAAAAUCGGAAAAAUUCGAAAAAAACCCGAGGUUGAAAAACCCGAAUUUUAUUAGUUUGGUUUAUAGAUUUAAAAAUCCGACACAAAUGAUUUGAUUUGAUAUUUGAAAAACCCGAACCAACCCAUAUGUACACCCCUAACACACACAACUAAUAUAUACAUUAUUUUUUAAUACAAUCUACCAAACGAUCCGAAAAUAAUUAAUGAAUGAAAGCAACAAAAUGCAUAUGAUCCAAGGUUUUUAGAAAAACAAGAAUAGAAUGGUGAUUGGUGUGUCAAUAUGAAAAAACAAGAAAAAUAUAAUGGUGCAGAAUGCAUGAGGUUUUGUGUGAAAAAUGAGAGUUAAAAAAAAAUUAUGAAGAAUCUUCUACGUGGCCGAAUUUCUAUUGGCUCUUUUCUUUUCCCAAUUUUGUUUUUUACUAAAAAUUAAAAUCCUGUAAUAAUCAGUAUUUUGAAAGCACGAGGAAAGACGUACAUUUUUUUAGUUUUGACCAUUAAAAUAAAAUAUUAUUUAUUAUUUAAAAAAAAUUAAAAUUGAAGUUGAAGUGUAGUACUGAGCAAGGCGUAAAUCACGAGACACGUGGCUUAAGGCCUAUAAGUUUUAGUUGUUAAAUUUUUAAUAUAACAAGAUAAAAUGUAGAGAACACCUUAAAAGUUUAAGAAAAAAAAAGCUCAUAGAAAAUAAAAUAUUUAGCAUAUAUUUAAAGUAUAAAUAAUUUAAUAGUGUUAAAGUUAUCAUAAAAAUACAAAUGAACUACAUGUUUUAACUUCCAAGCAAUUGAAAAUUUCACAAUUUCUUACGAUAUAUUAUCAAACUACACAUAUUACCUUUCGAAAAAUAAAACAACAAAUAUUAUCAGUACUACAUAUAAUUUAAAAUAUUUAUCUUUCGUGAAUAAAUACAAAACUGCUUUUAAAAUAAUAAAAGUACGAUAAUUUUAAGAAAUAUAACUAAGACACUAGAAAUAACUAAAGAUAUAAUUUUCAAUUGUUAAGCUAUUUUCAGAAUAAUGUUCAAUUGAUAUUCAUCCUUACGAUAUUCUCAAUUAAUUAUUAUGCAAUAUUAUGGCUCGUUAUUUGAGUUACGCUCAAGAUCUUAUUUAUUAUAGGUAAUUAAACUUUUACAUUGAUUUGUUAAAAUAAUUUGAAGGUCAACACUAAUUAGGGAAGAGAUCGUUGAACAAACCCUAAAUUUGAAGCGUUACGCAUAAUUAGGGCGCAUACAAUCAAAUGCUUAGAGUGUAAAUUUCGCUCAAGUGGCCCGCCCUAGACAGGUCCCAAACGACUUUUUAUUUUAAACAUAGAUAAUAACAUUGACUAACUCAUCCUAGACUAAAAUAAUUAAAAUAUCACUAAUAUAAUACAAAUUUAUUUAUUUAAACCUAAUUAAAAAAGAGAGAGAUUUUUUUUGUGAAAUUUUCCCUUUUCUUUUUGAAAAUGAAAUAAAACCUUUAUCCCAAAAUAUGACCUUUUAUUUUUUAUUUUUCAAAUAAAAUCUAUU